Long non-coding RNA from Carassius auratus (goldfish), 1932 nucleotides. The record is from Ensembl. NCBI's taxonomy places the organism in Eukaryota, Metazoa, Chordata, Actinopteri, Cypriniformes, Cyprinidae.
UAUAUAUAUAUAUAUAUAAAGUGUUUUUCGAAAGCACUUGAGCAGCUAACGGUCACUGUGAUUUUGCCAAGUAGCUAAGACAUGUUCCUGAAUCAACAUCUUUGAUGAUGCUGGAUCAACAUUAUUGCCCAAAAAUAUAUAUUUAAACCCAAUCCCUACCCCUAAACCUAACCCUGCCCAUAAUCUGUUAAAAUCUGUGGGAAAUUAUAGCUGAUUAACAAGAGUAUAGAAGCACUAACCCUGACGGUAAUCAUAAAACUGAUAUUUCCUUAAAAGUUAUAUCCCAUUCUGAUUGGUUGAUUGGAAUGUUGUUCCAGGAACAUGUUGUAGCUACUUGGCACAGCAACUUUGCUUAUUAGUCUACCCUGACUCAUUUAUAGCCUCAUCUCACCUUUGUGUUUACUAACGUUUGAAAACUCUCUUGAAACAAAUAGUAAAAGAACAGAUGUUCUUAAGACCCCCGUCAACCUUUUGUUUUUACUUCCGACCUUUGGAGCGAAGAGUGGGCAAAACCGACCACGCGCACACACAAACACACUAUUCUCACUGUCAUUUACAUAGUUUUGUUGACGGCAGUUCAGCAGCGAAAAAGGACUGGCUGGAUUCUCCGAGACACUUCAGAGGGAAACCAUUUAAACUGAGAGGCGCGCGACCGUCAGCUUGUCUCGCGCAGAACACUUUCAGCACUGCACGCUUUCUUCCAGUGUGCGUCACAUCGUUGCGUCUCUGUCAGCCGCGGAUGAAUUAAAGGUCGACCCGAGUCUCCAAAGAAGAUUCAAGAACAAGGAUCAUAUUUUAACCAUAAUGCCAAAAAUGGUUUCAUCUGGGGAUUCAAAAGACGUGUCAAAGUCAUCACAGAGCAAUGGACAUCACACAUCACACAUAUUUCAUUGUUUUACGACCCUCGUAUGUUUCAUGUUGUCUGCGUCUUCGGUGGCAGUUUGUCUGUUUAUGAACGUCAAAACAUCUCAUCUUGAGCGUAAAAUGGAGAUUCUGGAGAUGGAGCGACUGUCUGUGAUGGAACCUGUGCACGCGACCCUGGAUGCGAACGCGACCCUUCGGGAUGCGAUAGAGAAACUUGUGCAAGAGAGACUCAAAGAGGGGGUGUCGAAAAUUCGCACAGCUCGAGAAGCAGCGCAAGAGUGCUCGUGUCCUCCAGGUCCUCCGGGAAAACGGGGAAGAAAAGGCAACCCUGGAAUUCCAGUAAGUACCCUGUUAUCUCUGAGGCUUUAAUUCAGAACAAAUGUGAGUUGGUUUGGAGGUGGGCAGAUACAGUAUGGCAUGCCAUGAUGGCUUUGCAACCUUGAUAUAGACUGCAAAAUAAGGUGAGAUAAGAUGGAAUGGAGGAUAUAUGUUCCAGGAGACAGUUUCUGAAUUGAUCACACUCCAUUUUUCACUGUCUGGCAUACAUCCUGACCGCCUGUAUCGUAAUAAUCAUGCAUGCCUUUUAAAAAAUCCAACAGCUGAUUCAAAUCUCUUCAUGCCUUCACAAAAAAUGCAUAGUAAACACUAGUACAUGCUGAAGAGUAUGUAUAAAAUCCUCCUUAUCAUAGCAAUAAUGAAGCAGCACAGCGGCUUUUAUUGCUGUGGUUGCAUCACAUUUCUCAACAUGAGCAGAAAGCCACAAUAAUAAAGGAGAAGAGUGUGUAAACAUGUCUGGUUGCCCCAAACACAUUCCAUUUUUAUGAGCUAUUUGUCACAUAAGCUGUGUUUAUGUAUUGCAAAUGGACUGUUGAAGACAAUGGCAACAAUACUAUAUGGAGCACUUUAAUAAUGUCCAUUCUUGUGUAUAUUUUGGGGGCUCGGAAUGUAAACAGACUUGUUUUUGUUUUGUUUUAAAUUCAGAUAUGAUGUUUUUUAUGUUUUUAAUUACACUGUUUCUUUUUCUUUAUUAAAUCCGAACAGGGCACUCCAGGACGAGAUGGCUACCCG